RNAcentral lists this ribosomal RNA (584 nucleotides) under Trichaleurina javanica. RNAcentral describes it as "eukaryotic LSU rRNA". The stretch from base 188 to 341 matches the Rfam family "5.8S ribosomal RNA". Lineage: Eukaryota; Fungi; Ascomycota; Pezizomycetes; Pezizales; Chorioactidaceae. The record is from RNAcentral.
AAGGAUCAUUAGAAAAACAGCAUCUUCAGUGAUCACACCCUUCUGUGAACCCUGACCCCCUGUUGCUUCCCGCCUCCCCCGCGGAGGGCCGCCCCCCCAGGGGCGGCCCCGCGGCAGCGGAAGACGCUUACGCGAAACCCCCGUUUUCUCAUGCCCUCGGUCUGAACUGAAGUGACACAACAGUCAAAACUUUCAACAACGGAUCUCUUGGUUCCCGCAUCGAUGAAGAACGCAGCGAAAUGCGAUAAGUAGUGUGAAUUGCAGAAUUCCGUGAAUCAUCGAAUCUUUGAACGCACAUUGCGCCCUCUGGUAGCCCCGGGGGCAUGCCUGUUUGAGCGUCAGGAGGGGAGAACGAGCUCGGGUCGCCCGGCCUGUCCCGGCGACACCGGUCAUAGGGGAUCGUGGCGUCAGCCUCGCCACGCCUCCGAAUUGCAUCUCAUGGCGGAACCAUCCAGCCCGUGCCCGGCGUAGUAAUCCUACCUUCUCGACGGGUCCACGCCUGGCAGUUCCUGCCGAUCAAACCCAGCCACGCCUUCACAAAACCCGACGACUUCAAAUCAGGUAGGGAUACCCGCUGAACUUAA